GACGAACGCUGGCGGCGUGCCUAAUACAUGCAAGUCGAGCGGACUGACUGGGAGCUUGCUCUUGUUCGGUCAGCGGCGGACGGGUGAGUAACACGUGGGCAACCUGCCCGCAAGACCGGGAUAACUCCGGGAAACCGGAGCUAAUACCGGAUAACACCGAAGACCGCAUGGUCUUUGGUUGAAAGGCGGCGCAAGCUGCCACUUGCGGAUGGGCCCGCGGCGCAUUAGCUAGUUGGUGAGGUAACGGCUCACCAAGGCGACGAUGCGUAGCCGGCCUGAGAGGGUGACCGGCCACACUGGGACUGAGACACGGCCCAGACUCCUACGGGAGGCAGCAGUAGGGAAUCUUCCGCAAUGGGCGAAAGCCUGACGGAGCGACGCCGCGUGAGCGAAGAAGGCCUUCGGGUCGUAAAGCUCUGUUGUGAGGGACGAAGGAGCGCCGUUUGAAGAAGGCGGCGCGGUGACGGUACCUCAAGAGGAAGCCCCGGCUAACUACGUG
RNAcentral lists this ribosomal RNA (499 nucleotides) under uncultured bacterium. RNAcentral's name for it is "partial 16S ribosomal RNA". It matches the Rfam family "Bacterial small subunit ribosomal RNA", at positions 28 to 507 of the family's 1533-position model. The record is from RNAcentral.